AUCUUUAUGCAUGGGCAUUACGUAUAUCAGUGAGGAUUCGUCCGAGAUUAUGUUUUUGCUGGUUGAAAACUUUCACCAUGACAACUCCUGUUUGUAGCCUUCGGGCGAACGCUCAGGGAAUUUUUGGAAACCUAUCAUACAACUCUUGCUUGCAAGG
Molecule: small nuclear RNA, 157 nt
Filed under: Babjeviella inositovora NRRL Y-12698
Lineage: Eukaryota; Fungi; Ascomycota; Pichiomycetes; Serinales
Description: U4 spliceosomal RNA
Rfam family: U4 spliceosomal RNA (bases 1-138)
About the family: U4 small nuclear RNA (U4 snRNA) is a component of the major U2-dependent spliceosome. The structure of U4 snRNA from yeast and human has been reported.
Source: Rfam by way of RNAcentral